RNAcentral lists this ribosomal RNA (330 nucleotides) under uncultured eukaryote. Its description in RNAcentral is "partial 18S ribosomal RNA". It matches the Rfam family "Eukaryotic small subunit ribosomal RNA", at positions 1470 to 1796 of the family's 1831-position model. The record is from RNAcentral.
CCCUUAGAUGUUCGGGGCCGCACGCGCGUUACACUGAAGGAAUCAGCACGUCUUUCUCCUUGUCCGAAAGGACUGGGUAACCCGCUGAACCUCCUUCGUGCUAGGGAUUGGGGCUUGUAAUUCUUCCCCAUGAACGAGGAAUUCCCAGUAAGCGCGAGUCAUAAGCUCGCGUUGAUUACGUCCCUGCCCUUUGUACACACCGCCCGUCGCUACUACCGAUUGGAUGGUUUAGUGAGAUCCUCGGAUUGGUCCCGGAGCGGCCUCUGGUCGUGCCGGAGUGCCGAAAAGAAUGUCGAACUUGAUCAUCUAGAGGAAGUAAAAGUCGUAACA